GCGGGCGUAGUUCAGUGGUAGAACGUCAGCUUCCCAAGCUGAAUGUCGUCGGUUCGAUCCCGAUCGCCCGCUCCG
RNAcentral lists this transfer RNA (75 nucleotides) under Alphaproteobacteria bacterium. Its description in RNAcentral is "tRNA-Gly". It matches the Rfam family "tRNA". From Rfam's summary of the family: Transfer RNA (tRNA) molecules are approximately 80 nucleotides in length. Their secondary structure includes four short double-helical elements and three loops (D, anti-codon, and T loops). Further hydrogen bonds mediate the characteristic L-shaped molecular structure. tRNAs have two regions of fundamental functional importance: the anti-codon, which is responsible for specific mRNA codon recognition, and the 3' end, to which the tRNAs corresponding amino acid is attached (by aminoacyl-tRNA synthetases). tRNAs cope with the degeneracy of the genetic code in two manners: having more than one tRNA (with a specific anti-codon) for a particular amino acid; and 'wobble' base-pairing, i.e. permitting non-standard base-pairing at the 3rd anti-codon position. The record is from RNAcentral. Lineage: Bacteria; Pseudomonadati; Pseudomonadota; Alphaproteobacteria.